CUGUUGCAGUUUCUAGACUUAUGGCUUCCAAGACGAGAUUGAAAGUGAAUGCGCCAUAAAUAAAGGUCAGUGCCUGUUGUGUAAACACCUCAUGUAAAGAAAUAUUCAUCAGCCUACUUUCUACAGAGGAUUAAAUGCAUUCCUGUUGGUCCAUCAUAUCAUUCGCCCGCUCCUGUGAGUACAGUUGACCUAAACCUUCAUAAAUACUGGGACAUUUUUAUUGUUGCUUUUGUUUUUCCGCUGCAGAUGAAUUUCAAGAUUUUACCAGUCACAUAACAGUGCAGCUUUACUCCCAUGUGAGUCUUAACCACAACUAUCGAUCCACGAGCUGAAGCUCACUGGUUCUCAUGGGAUGGGAUGCGUUAAAGGCUUACUGAAUUAUUAAGUCUGAUGGACUAAAUUCUGACUUAGUGUAACGUGCACGUGCCUUUAAAUAAUAUUUUCCACCGGACACGUCGCAGAACGCUGCAACUGGGUUCAAACUAAUAGGCUUAAAAUAACACACUUUUAUAGAAGCUACUAGCCUGAUAAAGUUAGAUCACAUCACAUCUGUCUCAAGCAUCUAUCUCACGCUAUUAAACUCACAGCCUCAACUUUAAUCCGAACAUAAACAGGUUUAAACUCUGACUCGAACCAACUGUGACAGUAACUAGAUUCCCGGUGUGUUUCUCCCAAAAUGUCGACGUCCUGCGCGCAUCACACUUCGCUCAAGUCAGUGUCUGCGCGGGUCUAAUGAGUCAUGACACCACCAGAGCCUAAAGGCGUCCUCCCACGCUUCUCCAGCCCACUCCUGCCUCUAUUUGAGGCGCUCCUCUGCUCCAGCCCUCAGAGCAGCAGGCGCCCAGUCAGCGCAGCUCUCUCCUGCCGCUGCGGAGCGACGGGAGUUGCGUUUCCCCGCAUUGUUCAGGCUUCUCGUCACUCGGCCAAGAUGAGACUCAUCGUCGUCCUCGUCGGAGCUCUGCUGGCAGAAAAUCUAGCGCUUCCAGUAGGAAAGGAAGGGCAGAGGGACGAUGCGAUGACACAGUGUUUGGUUGAGGUCCUGUCCAAAGUUCUGUCCAAACCAGGCUCCCAGCUGGACCAGGAAUGCAAAGAGAUUCUCCGAGCAGGAGUUAAACGUGCCCCACUGGACACGAAGAGUGGGGAGGGAACAGUAACUCAAGAGGAGGUGAUUAACAGUCAUGCUGUGCAGCCUGAUGCAAAGGCAGCAGAUGUCCAAGACAUCGAGGCACUCCUAAAGACUGUAGAGGAAAAGAGGGAAAACCCAGAAGAUGAGCGCAGUCAGGAAUCUUGGAGUCUCGGUGAUGAGAAGGACAAAAGACACGAGAACCAAAAGGAGGAGGAAGAGCGAGAGAAAAGGAGCAGCUGGAGACCGGGAAGAUUCCACCAAAAAAAACAUAAACGAGACGAGGACAACGAGCGCAGUCAAGAGAGCUGGGGGACAGAAGAAAAGAGGGAUGAGGAGGAAGGGGAAGGUGAGGAGAGAGAGAAGAGGAAAUGGAAACCUGGCAGGUAUCACCAGAAAAAACAGAAACGAGACGAGGAACCUGAAGACGAAGAGCGGGAAGAGCCGGAGGAAGAACGUAGCCAAGAGUCUUGGGAUGUAGAUAAAAGGCACGGGAAUGAGGAUCAGGAGGAAAGAUACAAGCGCAUAUGGAAACCCACACAUCGCUACCACCACAAGAAAAAGUUCCACAAACGCAGUGACGAACCAUCAGACGGGGAAGAAUACGACGAUCGCAGCCAGGAAUCUUGGGGUCUUGAUGAAAUGGACAAGAGGGAAUGGAGACCUGGCAGGUACCACCAGAGGAGGCACAAACGCGAUGAAGAGCUCUCAGAUGAAGAAGCCAGAGAGGAGCCAGAUGAAGAACGAAGCCAGGAAUACUGGGAUUUUGAUACUGGAAGGGAAAAAAGAAACUGGCGACCCGGCAGGUACCAUCAGAGGAGAACCAAACGUGAUGAAGAGCUCUCGGAAGAAAAGAGGGAAGAUCCAGAUGAAGAUCGAAGCCAGGAAUACUGGGAUUUUGAUACUGGAAGGGAAAAAAGGAACUGGCGACCCGGCAGGUACCACCAGAGGAGAACCAAACGUGAUGAAGAGCUCUCAGAAGAAAAGAGGGAAGAGCCAGAAGAAGAGCGCAGCCAGGAGUACUGGGGCUUCGAGAAAAGGCACGAAAAGGAAGACGGUGAAAUUGAAAAGCGCAUAUGGAAACCAACACACCGAUACCAUCACAAGAAGAAGCUCCACAAACGUGGCGGAGGCUCCUCUGAAGAGGAGGGCGAAGAGCAGAGGGGGGAUUCUGAGGAAUACAAAGAGGCUGCGAAGAGCAGGGAUGAAGCUCUGAGGUAUCUGGCAGAGAAGCGCAACCCCUGGAUCAGCAGAGGCUACUACCACCCGGCCUGGUUCAAAAGGGAUUCAGACAAACAGGCUGCAUCCUCAACCAAGAUGGAUGACCUGGCCAGCUUGCUGAGCUACAGGGUGAACGAGGUGAACCAUGCAAAUCCAGACGAGGCCAAAGUGAGAAUUCAUCAGCGAGCGCUCAGUCCACAAGAGGAGAAAGAGCUGGAGAACCUGGCUGCAAUGGACAUGGAGUUGCAGAAAAUCGCCGCCAAGUUGCAUGAGAACAGCGCAUAAGUGACAUUAUCAGCUACUGUACGUCUGCCAGUGUAGUGUGUUUAAAGUAGAAGUGUGAAGAAAAACAUAAAAAAAUAAGACCUGAAACUCUACAGCCUUGCUUUAAACUGGUUUUAUCAUUGUCGUUGUGCUAUUUAAAUGUUAGCUUAAUGCGCAUGGGAAUGGCCUUGAUGUUUAUACAUGAAGAGAAAAUUUAA
Molecule: long non-coding RNA, 2826 nt
Organism: Betta splendens (Siamese fighting fish)
Lineage: Eukaryota; Metazoa; Chordata; Actinopteri; Anabantiformes; Osphronemidae
Product: chromogranin B
Source: Ensembl